AAUUCUGGGUGCCACAGAGAAUGGCAUGUGGUGCCUCUAGACUUCUCCAUGGAAGAUUUCUUUUUCAGAGAUCUGAGAAAGCCUUGGUCUGACAGCAGAGGGAAUCUCAAAUGCCUCGCCGUAGCCACGUAACAACUGGACAUCCCUGGACAUGGUUCCGAGAUGAAAAGGUGAAGAAAGUGUUAAAAUGACUAAGCAAAUGCAUACGAGGCCUGGUUCCUGUACUGGAAGGACUGAUUCCCUUAUCUGUGGAGCAGUGAUGGAUGCCAUUCAGCUGCUGCCUUGUCCAUGUCCCCUGUGGAGUGGCAGCUGAGAGAAAAUGCAUUCUGGGUGCAGAAUGUCAACAGAAUGAUGAGCAUGGGGCAUGUGUGGUCUGCUGCGCUACGGUAAAUUCAUAUUAGCUAUACUCUCUCUGCCUGCCAAAAUUUUGAGAUAGUUGUUGAAAAGAAGAAGAUGAAGAAGGAAGAGGAGGAGAAGGAAGAAUAGGAAGAGGUGAAA
Molecule: non-coding RNA, 498 nt
Organism: Leptonychotes weddellii (Weddell seal)
Lineage: Eukaryota; Metazoa; Chordata; Mammalia; Carnivora; Phocidae
Source: RefSeq, a predicted model, not a curated record